GACGAACGCUGGCGGCGUGCCUAAUACAUGCAAGUCGAACGAAGCUGUUUUAACUGGUGCUUGCACCGACUUAAACAACUGAGUGGCGAACGGGUGAGUAACACGUGGGUAACCUGCCCCAAAGCGGGGGAUAACAUUUGGAAACAGAUGCUAAUACCGCAUAACCACAGAAACCACAUGGUUUCUGUGUCAAAGAUGGUUUCGGCUAUCACUUUGGGAUGGACCCGCGGCGUAUUAGCUAGUUGGUAAGGUAAUGGCUUACAAAGGCAAUGAUACGUAGCCGAACUGAGAGGUUCAUCGGCCACAUGGGGACUGAGACACGGCCCAAACUCCUACGGGAGGCAGCAGUAGGGAAUCUUCCACAAUGGACGAAAGUCUGAUGGAGCAACGCCGCGUGAGUGAAGAAGGUUUUCGGAUCGUAAAACUCUGUUGUCGGAGAAGAACGUGUGCGAGAGUAACUGUUCGUGCAGUGACGGUAUCUGGCCAGAAAGCCACGGCUAACUACGUGCCAGCCGCCGCGGUAA
Molecule: ribosomal RNA, 524 nt
Filed under: uncultured bacterium
Lineage: Bacteria
Description: partial 16S ribosomal RNA
Rfam family: Bacterial small subunit ribosomal RNA
Source: RNAcentral